AUUGAACGCUGGCGGCAUGCUUUACACAUGCAAGUCGAACGGCAGCGCGGGCUUCGGCCUGGCGGCGAGUGGCGAACGGGUGAGUAAUGCAUCGGAACGUGCCCAGUAGUGGGGGAUAGCCCGGCGAAAGCCGGAUUAAUACCGCAUACGACCUGAGGGUGAAAGCGGGGGACCGAAAGGCCUCGCGCUAUUGGAGCGGCCGAUGUCGGAUUAGCUAGUUGGUGGGGUAAAGGCUUACCAAGGCGACGAUCCGUAGCUGGUCUGAGAGGACGACCAGCCACACUGGGACUGAGACACGGCCCAGACUCCUACGGGAGGCAGCAGUGGGGAAUUUUGGACAAUGGGGGCAACCCUGAUCCAGCCAUGCCGCGUGCGGGAAGAAGGCCUUCGGGUUGUAAACCGCUUUUGUUCGGGAAGAAAUCCUCUGGGCUAAUACCCAGGGGGGAUGACGGUACCGGAAGAAUAAGCACCGGCUAACUACGUG
Molecule: ribosomal RNA, 484 nt
Filed under: uncultured bacterium
Lineage: Bacteria
Description: partial 16S ribosomal RNA
Rfam family: Bacterial small subunit ribosomal RNA
Source: RNAcentral